RNAcentral lists this transfer RNA (75 nucleotides) under Gordonia phage PokyPuppy. Its description in RNAcentral is "tRNA-Asn". It matches the Rfam family "tRNA". Rfam says of the family: Transfer RNA (tRNA) molecules are approximately 80 nucleotides in length. Their secondary structure includes four short double-helical elements and three loops (D, anti-codon, and T loops). The record is from RNAcentral. Lineage: Duplodnaviria; Heunggongvirae; Uroviricota; Caudoviricetes.
UGAGCCAUAGCUCAAUUAGGCAGAGCGCCCGACUGUUAAUCGGGUGGUUGCAGGUUCGAUUCCUGCUGGCUCAGC